GCGUAAUGGAUCUAGCUAAUUAGCUGGACUGUCGCCUGCCGGGUACCCUGCGCCUGCGGAAUGGAUCUAGCUUUCUUCGGUAGGUGGCUUUGUGCUCAACAGAGAAGCUCCCAACGCCAUUGACUUACUUCAAUCUUUCCCCAGCGCGAGCUGUGUUCGUUGGGCUGCUGGGCUGACCUCGCUGACGAUGCCACGACGGGAGGAGCAGCUCGCGUCUCCGGUCUCCAUCUUGUUGCGAUCUCGUUGGCUUCGUCUAGCUACCAAGGCGUCCUCCGCUUCGUAGCCAGCAAUGCUUCCUCCUUCACAGAUGUGUCCCAUGAAAGCUCCUGGUCCGGAUGGUUUUCGGACAAAAUUCUUUCAAUGCCAUUGGGAUAUAUGCAGCGAUUAAGUCACGAAGGUUGUCAUUCGAUUUUUUAAGGGUCCGAGAGUCCAAAGAUGAUAAGUAACAAUGUCCUCGUGCUUGUACCUGAGGCAUCCAACCUCUCCAGUUUAUCUCAAUUUCGUCCAAUUAAGUUGUGCAGUGUGGUAUAUAAUAUUAUCUCUAGGUUCUGGAAACCCGUCUCAAGAACAAUUCUUUCAGAAAUUAUAUUUGAGUAAUAGUAUGCUUUUGUACAUGUCUGCUUAGUUACUGACAAUAUCAUCUCUGCCUAUGAGUGCUUUAAUUUUAUGAGGGGAAACAAAGAGGAAAAACAUAGGUCAUGUGAUCCAAAGUUCCACAUGAGGAAGGCAUAUAACCAAGUGGGAUGGUCCCAUCUUCAGGCAAUUAUGAUCAAACUGACUUUUUGUGCUAUGGACCUCUAUGAUAAUGACCAUGGUGAGAUGUGUAUCCUUUUCGGUUAUGUUCAAUGGGAAUUAAUUGGAAGAAUUUAAACUAGCAAGAAGUAUAUGAUAAGGAUAUCCUCUUUCACCCUAUCUCCUUUUGCUGGCAGCUGAGGGCCUUUCUUUCCUUCUAAAAUCUAUUUACCAGUCAUCUCACCUUACUGGUAUUCAAAAGCAAGGGCUGCCCUCAAGUUAUGAGUGAUAUCUGGGAAAGCCAACUGAUGUUGGGAGAGCUAAGAAUUGUACAUUCAAGUACCUAAAGAAUAGAAUAUGGUAUAAGAUUCAUGGAUGACUAGAAAAAAUAUUGUUAGGUGGAGGCAAAGAGGUUUUAGUCAAGUUAGUUGUCAAGUUAUUCAAGUUUAUUCCAUGGGUUCUUUUAAACUCCGUUGAGGCUUGUGUGAACGCAUUGCUUAGGUCUCUUGGGGCAUGAUGAAUCGAUCAAAACAAUGGGAGGUUUGGGCAUUAGAGGUAUGGAAUUGUUUAACAUAGCACUCCUGGCUUGUCAAACAAGAAGGGUUUUACACGCACCGAAUUCAAUAAGUUUGAAAAUUUCGAAGGCGGUUUACUUCCCGAAAACCAUGAUUCCGGACGCCACAGUUGGGUCUCACCCUUCUGGGAUUUGGUGCUUGAUUUUGGAAGGAUGUGAUGUUUGAAUUAUAGGGCUAAUUAGAAAGAUCGAUGAUGGUUCGUCAACAGAAAUUUGGCGCCAGAACUGGCUGCCCCAGGGCGGAUCAAUGAGGCCUAUCAACACAAGCAAUGGCAAUAUAUCUCUGGUGAGCGAACUCAUUGACCGGAACCCAUGUCAUGGAGAGAGGAUUUGGUGCGUCACACCUUUUGAAUAUUAAUGCAACUAUUAAUCUUGGAAUAGCUUUGUACACAUGCCAGUUACCGGAUUUUUGGUCUUGGGCACAUCGGAAUAGGGGCUUAUUAAGUGUAAGGUCUACUUACCAGAACAAAAUUUAGCGGAGAGAGUUGUUAGGAUCAUCUUCUUCAAAUGCUAAAGAGAAGGAUUGGCCGAACUUACGGAACACUCUAGUUCCCUCAAGAUUUGAUUGUUCUUAUGUUGCUCGUCACUUCUUUCAGUAUCAACUUAUAAUAUUCCUUAAUACAGAACUACUUCCACCUCCACAAAUUGCUCUUUAUGUGGAGCAGGGGACUCUUGGAGACAUGCUCUCCUUGAGUGUUUCAUGUCAUGAUGUGUUACGAAUCUUGAAAAACAUGAGGUUGUCAAACACAUCAUUGGUACAACAGAGGGACAACCAAGAUAUUGGCUUUUUAGUCUCAAAGAAUCAUUACCGCAUGCAGAUUGUACAAUGGAAAGUGUGACGAGGUGGGUGUGCAGGGUGAUUCACGACAUGCCGUAUGGCGAUUCCCGAAAAUGUGUUCCAAUCUCCACUUCCUAAACUUUGAUGUAGUGGACCCCUUCGCCCCAUGGUUAAGUCAAGCUCAACGUUGAUGGGUUUAGGGUGCAGUGCCUUCUACCAGUGGUAGUGGGUGGCAAAUUUAACCUGCUCUAGUCCCUUGAUGAAAAAAAUCUCUUGUAAUAUUAAUGGUCCUCGUAUGCGUGUGUUUAAUGAUUGCAUUUUAGAUCUGAUGCUUACAGAUAUUACUACAGUUUGUUCCCGUUACACUCAGAUGAAUAACUAGGUGGACCAUAUUGUGAGUGUGCUAGAUGAGGGUCUGGUGUUGGUUGAGUGGCAACUAUGCUUCCCCCUCCGUGGCAUGAAAGUGGUCACU
This is a long non-coding RNA of Hordeum vulgare subsp. vulgare (domesticated barley), 2556 nucleotides long. RefSeq lists it as uncharacterized. The transcript has 3 exons. The record is from RefSeq and is a predicted model, not a curated record. NCBI's taxonomy places the organism in Eukaryota, Viridiplantae, Streptophyta, Magnoliopsida, Poales, Poaceae.